Molecule: long non-coding RNA, 779 nt
Organism: Arabidopsis lyrata subsp. lyrata
Lineage: Eukaryota; Viridiplantae; Streptophyta; Magnoliopsida; Brassicales; Brassicaceae
Exons: 2
Source: RefSeq, a predicted model, not a curated record
AUUUACAACUACACACACUUUUUAAGCUUCUCUUACAUUUUAACACACUUUUUGCUUCUCAUACAUUUCUUUGUGUAUGUUAAGUCCUUUAUACCCUUUUCUCUUUCUACACUUUUUCUAACAACACCUAACAAAACUUUCUCUUCUAAUCUUCUCAAUUAUUUAUACGUUUCUUUUUCACCUUUUAUCUCAUUUAGUUUUUUAAUAAAAAAUCAAAUUCACCAAAAGUCAAAAAAGAGAAAAUAAAAGAAGAAAACGAAACCCAACCUUUAAUUGAAAACCAUCGCCGUUCGACCGCUUUUUGCAGUGUUUGUUUAUGGGUAUUUUGAAGAUUUGUUCUAUUGGAUGUCUAGCUUCAGAUCAGGAAAAACAUCUCCGAGGAAGAAACUUCAGGCAAUGAAGAAUCAAAAGGCUGGGUUCUCAUGAACCGAUUCUCAAAAGGGUUAUCGUCACAUGAAAGAUGAAGGAAUCGUUUCUAAAGAAUCUCUUUUCAUUUUGAUUAUGAGAGAUUACGAAAAAGCUGAGUUUCAUGAACAAACUACAAGAUUGAUGUUGGAUGCGCUAUGGAGAUGGCGAAUCUUCUCCCCGGUGUUUUGUUCAAGCCUCUCCAGCACAUUAACACCGACGUCUUGGCCGUCGGCUUGAACGAUAAUUUGAUGAAUUGGGUUUAGAUUAAUUGUUUUUAUCUUGAUCUUGUCUUUUUUAUUAUAGUUUUCUCCAUGUCUGAAUUAUGUUCAUUAGAAACCAUAACAUCAAUCACAUUGUGAACAAUUGUUCUC